Molecule: non-coding RNA, 1367 nt
Organism: Equus caballus (horse)
Lineage: Eukaryota; Metazoa; Chordata; Mammalia; Perissodactyla; Equidae
Source: RefSeq, a predicted model, not a curated record
CCGCUCUCCAUCUUGGCAGAGCUCUCCAUGCGAAGCGGCGGCCAAGGAGUCGCGGAAUCGGAGCGAGCCGGGACGCGAGGAAGUGUAAGAGACGAUGAGGCCUGAAGCAAAGCCACAGCACCGGUUUUCCACCCCGAGGAAGCCUCCACGACUGGCGAAAGAGCGGUUAUUCAGGCACUUCCGGCCAUCCACGUGCUGCAGCUGUGAGCUCUGGGUGCAGGCCGCUAGGAGGCGCCUAGGCAAAGCCUCCUUGUGGCCCAUCCACUCCUCUCUCUCAAAAUAGUGUGUGUGUGUUGGGGGGGGGGGGGGGGGUGUCGCCAACAGAGACACGUCUAACUGCGUUUUCUUUCCCAUUGGGUUGAAGCAUGCACCCUGAGCUCCUUUCCAAGUCAGACUCUAAUCAUUCCACACUUAAAAGGUCCGCAGUCCUGGCUCUACCACUAUUUUACGUUGUAACCUAGAACAAGUUCCUCUUCCUCCAACGCCCUCAGUUUCCUGAUCUGUGCAGGAGGGGCUACAUCAGCUAAUUUCGAAACGUACCUAGGAGCGCGCAAAAUUUGCAGAUAGCCAGCACAUGUUCUCAGUUUCCUUUUCACAUGCAGGUUUCACGCGUGCACAGAGAUCCUAAUUAUCAGGGACUUCAAGGCCAGAGCCCACUCCCAACCACGCAGACACACACACACACGCAGACACACACACAGAGCCUACUCCCAACCACACACACGAAAUGGGCGCCCAAAUGGAAGCGCCAACUAUGAAAACGCGCAUUGUAGUGGCCCUACGUGUUGGCCUCCGCCCAGGAGAAAAGACAGCUCGGGCGCUGGGAUCCUUCCGGCCAAAGCCACCGGAACAUUUGUCCCUAUUCUGCCCGCUCCAGUCCCGAGCCAAAAUUCCGUCCUCACUCUCCCCACUCCCGCAUCCUCAGCCUGCUUCCUUACAUGCUUUGCAAAGCUUUCCAAGAACCCAGGCGUUCUCUUCCUCCCACUGGAGUAAAUACAAAGAAUGCUCCCCAUCACGCUCCCAGCCCAGCACUGUCUCCACUUUCUCCUCCACCACUAAGGUAGAGAGGUUUAGAAUCUUUCCCCGAGUUUGCACCUCUGCCUUUCGGGAUUGCACCCUACAGACGGGAGUUCUUCACUGAAAUUGACUUUCAGGUCUUUUUAUUUUUUUUUUACUUUUUUUAAAAUUUUUACCAGUUUGGAGCAAAGGACCAAGGCUCAAGAGCCAAUCAGAAUUCUGCCUCAGAUCCUGUGACCUCAAUUAUGACUCCCCUCCCCCAACACGCACACCUGAGAGAGGGGCCACUGGCUCGCUUAGGCCAGGGGACUCCAAAUCUUGCACUGGAGGGAUAAAGCAGAUAAACUUGA